GAUGAAAGAAACUGAAGAUGAAGUCUGAGACUAGGGCUAAAAGCAGCCCUCACAAGGUCUUCCCUGAGUUUUGGGAAGGUGAGUACCCAGAAAAUAGGGCUCUGCAGGAGGGCAGACUGGGUAGGAGAUGUCAUGGACCCCACCCUUGGGGAGUGGUCUGGUGGAUGCUUUCUUAGCCAGAGCUUGGAACAGACUCAUGGCCAGUGAGUGAGUUCAAUGGCUGAGGUGAGGUACCCUGCCUGAGAGCCUCAUAAUCCAAUUCAGACUACUCUCUCCUGUC
Molecule: ribozyme, 280 nt
Organism: Ursus americanus (American black bear)
Lineage: Eukaryota; Metazoa; Chordata; Mammalia; Carnivora; Ursidae
Rfam family: Nuclear RNase P
About the family: Ribonuclease P (RNase P) is a ubiquitous endoribonuclease, found in archaea, bacteria and eukarya as well as chloroplasts and mitochondria. Its best characterised activity is the generation of mature 5'-ends of tRNAs by cleaving the 5'-leader elements of precursor-tRNAs. Cellular RNase Ps are ribonucleoproteins.
Source: Ensembl